RNAcentral lists this ribosomal RNA (253 nucleotides) under uncultured bacterium. RNAcentral's name for it is "partial 16S ribosomal RNA". It matches the Rfam family "Bacterial small subunit ribosomal RNA", at positions 524 to 776 of the family's 1533-position model. The record is from RNAcentral.
UACGGAGGGUGCAAGCGUUAUCCGGAUUCACUGGGUUUAAAGGGUGCGUAGGCGGCCGCAUAAGUCAGCGGUGAAACCCACGGGCUCAACCCGUGGAGUGCCGUUGAUACUGUGCGGCUUGGGUCGUCUCUGGGCGGGCGGAAUGGAUGGUGUAGCGGUGAAAUGCAUAGAUAUCAACCAGAACGCCGAUAGCGAAGGCAGCUCGCUGGGGACGUACCGACGCUGAGGCACGAUAGCGUGGGGAUCAAACAGG